GGCAAGCGCUCGGCACUACACGGGACAGGCCGGCCGGGUGAGUGUGCUUUCUGUUCCACUGUGCAGCAGCGCUCGCCGUCGUAAGCCACAGGGGCGCACGCAGGUGAAUGGGCAUUCGCGAUGUAAGCCUGGAGUUGCGGAACAGCCAAGCAGCAGUCGCUUCCUUGACGAUGGUGUGCCAUCUCUGAAACGACUGGGACGUCAGCAGAAGAAACGAGUGAGCUGCGAUCAAUCACGGAGUGCGACAAGACGGCUGCUGCCAGGAAUCGAACGCGGACCCGUCGCCUUGCUGGAGAUGUAUGUGACGUGAAGCG
Schistocerca americana (American grasshopper) is the source of this 314-nucleotide long non-coding RNA. RefSeq lists it as uncharacterized. The record is from RefSeq and is a predicted model, not a curated record. The transcript is spliced from 3 exons. Lineage: Eukaryota; Metazoa; Arthropoda; Insecta; Orthoptera; Acrididae.